CAGUGGCAUGAUCGUAGUCAAGUGUAUUUGAGGCUUAUCUCCCUGCUCCUGUUUUGGUCAGUGGGCAGCUUACCAGGUGCUGAAAAGUCAAGUGCGUGUCCAGGAAGUAACCCCUAUGCAUUAGGUUAAUGUCAUUUAUGCCUUUCUGACCUCAUCCUUGAGUUUUAAGGCCAGUCAAGAGGAGAAAGAAAUGCAAAUGUCUAACAAUAAUUAACCUUUCCCAGCAGUCCAGGUUGCAGCAACUGCAUCCUAGGGCUCCCCUUUGCCAGGGCUCAAGAUUCAGAGGGAUAUGAAAGGAAUAUAGGGAAAUACACAUCCAGGAGAAGGAAAUCGUCCCAGAAGACAAGUGGUGUUGCAGAAAUGUUGGUGAUGCUCUUCGUGCCCCUUCUGAGAGGUUACCACAAGCAGGCUGUCUGCAUCAGCCAUCUUUCACAUAGAAAUCAGCAUCUGGCCUAACUGCCCAAGUUGACCUGCAAACCUCAGAGUUAACCCAGCCAUGCAGGUUUUAACCAAGAGCUACAGUGAUUAAAGCUCUACUGGGGACUGGAAUGAAGAUGAAAAGGAGAAGCAGAAGAAGAACAGGAAAGACCUGGUUUCCCGGGGCAGGGUAGGGAUGAACUGGGGGGAGCCCCAGCAAACAGCCUCAGAGUGCCCGGUCUCGCUGGGGUUUUCCAGGCAUAGAGGCACAACCUCAGUUAUCAACGGGUCCUAGCUCUCUAGAUGAUAACCACCGUCAGAGCUACGUUUGCCUGGGUCAGUAUAACUGCAGCCAGCCUACCUGGGCAGCCUCCAGGGGCCUGGUGAGCACAUGUUUCAGAGAGUUUUACAUAAGUUCUCACCAAGAGGGAAGAGCCUCUCCUGCAAGCUGGCUGUCACGGAGCUAUUUGCAUCCUGCCUCCAUCCUGAAGGGUAGGGGUUGGCCCCUUCACAGAAGCACACUGGGCACGGAGGCGCCUGUGCCAAACCAGCCUCCGGGCCCCCUUCCAAAUGGGCUUUGUUGGGGGCCCCCCAGGGCCCAGCAGCAACCUGCCUGUGACUGCUCCUACAGGCUACACACCCAGCACUGAAGUCUCAGCUCUGCCUUUGCUCCAUUUCACACCAGGCCUGGAGGAGACCGGGUGACAGAGACAGACUAGAGAGAUUCCCAGCCUAUUUGGACGGUGUUGGACCUUUUUUAUAUUCAGAAAACAGCUCCCGCCUCCAAGGCCUGCAGCAUCCUGACACCUCCAAAAGGGAGCCUAGGUCCUCCCUCAAGGCCCGUAGAAGACACAGGUAAGCACCGCAUGCCUCUACUGCAUCAGCCUCUGACCUUGGAGGGGUUGGCCAGUGAGGGCAACAUCCUUGACCUGUCUGAGGCCCUCCUUUGAUCUCUCCAUCGCCUUCUGACCUUCCUGCCAACCAGGAUCCUCACUCCUGCCUGUGGCGCGUGUAACCUAACAGCUGUGGGGACUAUUAGAAAACAAGACUGGCACCUAAAAGUCUGCCCAGGACCUGAGAUCAAGUGGCCUCAUCAUUCCUCUGCUUAAAAACAAAGCGCCGCCGAGCAGCUAGGGCCGGGACAACACCUCCCCGCUAUUGCGUCAGCCGGUUUGAGCCUCACGGAAGCCACGCCCAGCGCCCUAAGGAACCAGCGGGGCCUGGAGGUGCGGGCGUUUAGGGAGACGUUCGCCAGCACUGCCCCCGGGAUGCUGAUGGCCUGUGAGCCUUCGGAGAAACAGGAAGCGCGCACAUACUGGUCCGCCCUUGGCACUCUCGGUUUUUUCCAGGUCCAGAGAGCGAUAUGAAACGUAUCCUGUUACGGUAACAUGAGUCAGUUGAAUCCUGUUGGGGCUUCUUCCCCAGGUGCAUAGAUUUAUGGCUGGGGUGGGGGCAGGGCCUGGAGCGCAAAGGACCCUAGGCCCGAAGAGAGGUUGGGGAGCUUCUGGCCGACUUCCUGACCACCCUAAUUUCACAGACAAGGAAGGGGCCUGGGUUGCAGGCAGAGCCAGGCUAGACCCCUGGAAUCCCAGCUUGGGACGGCGCCUUUCCCGCCACCCCUGCUCUCCCAUAGCACUAGGCUGUCUUCUGAGCAGCUUUUCUAAACCCUUUGCCAAAGGCCUAGAGGCUCAGGUGAAAGAUGCUUUGUUGAAACCUGGUUAUUCAGAUGCUGGGGAGUAGGGGGCGGAGGGGAUGUUGAUCCUGGCAAGUUAGGGGAAAGUAAAUGCUGGCUUCUGAAGCUUUUCCUGAUGACCCUUAUUCGAGUGACCAUUCCCUUCCCUUCCCUGAAAUGCACUGUUUUGAGCUCCCAGAGUAGACUGUAACAUUAACAUUCAUCUAUAUCAACCCACCUUCUCCAUGUAAUGUCAGUGCUCGUUCCUCGUGCACAGCACACAAAUUCCUAGGCAGUUUUCCACUUCCCCAUUCAUGCCUGACCUGAGCAGUGUGUGUUGAAUUUGGAUCAACAGUCACUCUAGAACAGAAGCCACAGAGAUCCAAGGACUGAGGUUGAAGAAGGGCUGAGUGCUAAUGCCUAGGCCAUCGCAGCUGGGACAAGCCCUUCUAAGGCCCAGGCAGGGGUGAGGAUGGGGGUGGGGCCAGAUUAACAGGAACGGAGAUUGUUCUCUGGAGCAGAGCAGAUAAAAAGACUUCCUAUUCUCCCCAUUACCUUACAAUUAAUAUUAAUGGUUGUAUUACUGAGAGCUUAAAAUGGCAUCUGUAUUGCUCUUUUUAACUCUGUUGAUAGGAACUACCAAACCCCCCAAUUUAAAGAUGAGAACACUGAGGCACAGAAAGAUUGAAUGAUGUUCUGAAAACCUCAUGGCUGACAAGUGGUAAAGCCAGAAGGCCACCAUUUACCAGUAUGUUCUACUGCCCCCUGAAAAUGAUUCUGUGAUGGCCUCCCUGCCCUUGAUGGGAUGUUGAAGGGUCCUCUGAGCAGAGCCACAAAGGCUGCUCAGCAAGCUGGGUUCCAAGAUCAAGGAGCUUAUUCUUUGUUAUGUCACUAUGAGGGCUCUAAUAGUUCAUGACCUCUGAGCUGUGAGAUGUCCUUGCCCAGCCUCCACCCCUGGGUGCCCAGUGGGCCUCUGAGGCAAAGAGUGGGCAUGGAGAGGACCCCGUGAGGAAUGGGUUCAGCCUGACCCUGGCCGCACCCCCAGUGCUGCCUGCUGGAGAAUGGGUCAGGGAACUUUCACCAGGGAAAUGGUUAUUCAAACAGACUGAAACAAUAAGGCUGGAAAACAAGCCAAGAUGCUGGGCUAAGAAGCCAGAAAAAAUAGGAAAGGUGCCUCCCUUUAUCAAGAUCAAAGAGGCCUGGCUCACUGAGCAGCUAGAACAAAAGGCUCCAAUCAGAACUCAAAGUUGUUGUUGAAGGAGACCUUUUGGGAGGAAAAUCAACACUGUGUAGCCGGUCCACUCCUUUCCCAGGACCGGGUCUCAGCAAUCUUCUGCAUCUGUGAAUGGAGAUUUCAGCAAACAGAAAGGCACAUCCGGCUUCCAGUUUCCUGACCCUGACGCCGUCCUCACUGUCAACACCAGUGGCUCUCUACCUUCUGUGACAUUUACUGGGCUACUCAUUGUACUACUUUCUUAAUCAAGGAAAAAUGAAGUAAAAAAUCUUGGGAAAUCUAGGAAGCUCAUUGCAGGAAUACCUCAGAAAGGUGACUCAGUACUUCUUCAUUUCACAAAGGGAACCAGAAGUUUCGCAAGAACGUUGUUGUUCUAAGUUGAUUGAACCAGGACUUCCUGACUCCUGAACUUUUUGCUGAUCGCCCUGGGCUCAGUUACAAGAUCCGUGGUUGGCAGAAAGAGCACUCUCACCUUUUCAGAAACGGUUGAGUCUGGAAUGGCUGAGCGACCUGACGUGCUUCUGCAGAGUACCCCAGACUGGUUCGGCCCUGGUAGCAAGGGUGUUCUAGAACUCUGGGAAAUGUUGAACUAUGAAUCCAAGAAGCAGCUGGGCCAACAGAAAAUUUGCCUGUGAAUAGGACAUGAAAUCACACGCAAAAGCUGAUGCCCCCAAAAUGUUUUCAUUCUCGGCAUGAUCAA
Long non-coding RNA from Suricata suricatta (meerkat), 4023 nucleotides. RefSeq lists it as uncharacterized. The record is from RefSeq and is a predicted model, not a curated record. Lineage: Eukaryota; Metazoa; Chordata; Mammalia; Carnivora; Herpestidae. The transcript has 8 exons.